AUACGUAGGUGACAAGCGUUAUCCGGAUUUACUGGGCGUAAAGGGCGUGUAGGCGGUCUUGCAAGUCAGAAGUGAAAUUCCUGAGCUCAACUCGGGCGCUGCUUCUGAAACUGCAGGACUUGAGUGCUGGAGUGGAUAGCUGAAUUCCUAGUGGAGCGGUAAGGUGCGCAGAUAUUAGGAAGAACACCGGUGGCGAAGGCGGUUAUCUGGAAAGUAACUGACGCUGAGUCGCGAAAGCGGGGGGAGAAAACAGGAUUGGAUACCGUGGUCGUCCACGCCGUAAACGAUGAAUACUAGGUGUGGGGGGACUGACCCCCUCCGUGCCGCAGUUAAAACAAUAAGUAUUCCACCUGGGGAGUACGAUCGCAAGAUUGAAACUCAAAGGAAUUGACGGGG
This 396-nucleotide ribosomal RNA is filed under the name uncultured bacterium. RNAcentral describes it as "partial 16S ribosomal RNA". It matches the Rfam family "Bacterial small subunit ribosomal RNA", at positions 523 to 918 of the family's 1533-position model. The record is from RNAcentral.